UGGAGGCAGCAGUGAGGAAUUUUGCGCAAUGGCCGCAAGGCUGACGCAGCAACGCCGCGUGGGUGAUGAAGGCCUUCGGGUCGUAAAGCCCUGUCAGGUGGGAAGAAUAGUUUGGGGAUGAAUAAGCCUCAGGCAUGACGGUACCACCAAAGGAAGCACCGGCUAACUCCGUGCCAGCAGCCGCGGUAAUACGGAGGGUGCAAGCGUUAUUCGGAAUUACUGGGCGUAAAGCGCGUGUAGGCGGGAAGGUAAGUCUGAUGUGAAAGCCCUGGGCUCAACCUGGGAAGUGCAUUGGAUACUGCUUUUCUUGAGUACUGGAGAGGAUGGGGGAAUUCCCGCUGUAGAGGUGAAAUUCGUAGAGAUCGGGAGGAAUAUCAGUGGCGAAGGCGCCCAUCUGGACGGUUACUGACGCUGAGACGCGAAAGCGUGGGGAGCAAACAGGAUUAGAUACCCCCGUAGUCCU
RNAcentral lists this ribosomal RNA (463 nucleotides) under uncultured bacterium. RNAcentral describes it as "bacterial SSU rRNA". It matches the Rfam family "Bacterial small subunit ribosomal RNA", at positions 343 to 797 of the family's 1533-position model. The record is from RNAcentral.